Molecule: ribosomal RNA, 274 nt
Filed under: uncultured bacterium
Lineage: Bacteria
Description: partial 16S ribosomal RNA
Rfam family: Bacterial small subunit ribosomal RNA
Source: RNAcentral
AGACGAACCGUGCGAACGUUAUUCGGAAUCACUGGGCUUGAAGCGUGCGUAGGCGGCUUGGCAAGUUGGGUGUGAAAGCCCUCGGCUCAACCGAGGAAUUGCGCCCAAAACUGCCAGGCUUGAGGGAGUUAGAGGUGAGCGGAACUGAUGGUGGAGCGGUGAAAUGCUUUGAUAUCAUCAGGAACACCGGAGGCGAAGGCGGCUCACUGGGGCUCUUCUGACGCUGAGGCACGAAAGCUAGGGGAGCGAACGGGAUUAGAUACCCUAGUAGUCC